UUUAGUGGAGAGUAUGAUACUGGCUCAGGACGAACGCUGGCGGCGUGGAUUAGGCAUGCAAGUCAUUUUAAUGAAGUCUUCGGAUUUUAUUAGAGUGGCGAAAGGGUGAGUAACACGUAGGUAAUCUACCUUCAAGAUUGGGAUAACACUUCGAAAGAGGUGCUAAUACCGGAUACGUUCACGUUUUCGCAUGAAAAUGUGAAGAAAGAUGGUGUUUUCGGACAUUGUUACUUGAAGAUGAGCCUGCGGCCUAUUAGCUAGUUGGUGGGGUAAUGGCCUACCAAGGCGGCGAUGGGUAGCUGGCCUGAGAGGGUGGUCAGCCACAUUGGGACUGAGAUACUGCCCAAACUCCUACGGGAGGCUGCAGUCGAGGAUAUUUCGCAAUGGGGGAAACCCUGACGAUGCGACGCCGCGUGAGGGAUGAAGGCCUUCGGGUUGUAAACCUCUGUGUUAUGGGAAGAAACGUAGGUUAGUGAAAGCUAUCUUACCUGACGGUACCGUAAUAGAAAGCCCCAGCAAACUGCGUGCCAGCAGCUGCGGUAAUACGUGGGGGGCGAGCGUUGUCCGGAAUCAUUGGGCGUAAAGGGUGUGUAGGCGGCCGUGUAAGUCUUAUGUGAAAGUGCUGGGCUCAACCGAGCAACUGCAUUUGAUACUACAUGGCUUGAGUAUAGGAGAGGGAAGUGGAAUGGGUAGUGUAACGGUGAAAUGUGUAGAUAUUAUCCAGAACACCGGUGGCGAAGGCGGCUUCCUGGCCUGAUACUGACGCUGAGGCACGAAAGUUAGGGUAGCGAACGGGAUUAGAUACCCCGGUAGUCCUAACCGUAAACGAUGGGCACUAAGUGUAGGAGGUAUCGACCCCUCCUGUGCUGUAGCUAACGCAUUAAGUGCCCCGCCUGGGGAGUACGGCCGCAAGGCUAAAACUCAAGGUAAUUGACGGGGGCCCGCACAAGCGGUGGAGCAUGUCGCUCAAUUCGAAGCAACGCGAAGAACCUUAUCCAGGGCUUGACAUCCUUUGAUAACCAUAGAAAUAUGGUCUUCCCUUCGGGGACAGAGAGACAGGUGCUGCAUGGCUGUCGUCAGCUCGUGUCGUGAGAUGUUGGGUUAAGUCCCGCAACGAGCGCAACCCUUGCUCUUAGUUGCCAUCGGGUAAUGCCGGGGACUCUAAGAGGACUGCCUGCGACGAGCAGGAGGAAGGUGGGGAUGACGUCAAGUCCGCAUGGCCCUUAAGCUCUGGGCUGCACACGUGCUACAAUGGCUGGUACAGCGGGAGUUGAAACCGCGAGGUGGAACGAAUCCCUAAAAACCAGCCUCAGUUCGGAUUGUAGUCUGCAACUCGACUACAUGAAGUUGGAAUCGCUAGUAAUCGCGGAUCAGCAGGCCGCGGUGAAUACGUUCCCGGGCCUUGUACACACCGCCCGUCACGCCAUGAAAGCCGGUAACAUUCGAAGCCGGUGGGCUAACCCGCGAGGGGGGCAGCCGUCGAAGAUGAGAUCGGUAAUUGGGGCGAAGUCGUAACAAGGUAGCCGUAUCGGAAGGUGCGGCUGGAUCACCUCCUUUCUAAGGA
RNAcentral lists this ribosomal RNA (1564 nucleotides) under Candidatus Poribacteria bacterium. Its description in RNAcentral is "bacterial SSU rRNA". It matches the Rfam family "Bacterial small subunit ribosomal RNA". The record is from RNAcentral. Lineage: Bacteria; Candidatus Poribacteria.